Lytechinus variegatus (green sea urchin) is the source of this 1653-nucleotide long non-coding RNA. RefSeq lists it as uncharacterized. Lineage: Eukaryota; Metazoa; Echinodermata; Echinoidea; Temnopleuroida; Toxopneustidae. The record is from RefSeq and is a predicted model, not a curated record. The transcript has 4 exons.
GAUGGAGAGGUUACCGUUUGAGUAACUCGUUGAACUCAGAUACUUUUCAGGUCAUUUUCACCUUUAAAAUUACCUUUUUGUAGAAUGUCAGUGCAUAAUAAUGACAAGCUUUAUGUGUUUUGGUGUUUGUGUGUUUGUGUAGCGCAUAUACGACGAAAAAAAUAGAGUCAGGUAUGUAUAGCAUACUGAAAUUUGGGGGGGGGGGAAAUGAGAGGAAGAAUGUAGAGAUAAGGUGGCCGAGAUCAAGACAAAGAAAACUGGAAUGUAAAAUGAUGAUUUGAGAAAGAGUAAUAAAGAAUACACGUAAAAUGUGUUAACUUGACAUGCGUCCUUUUAUCACAAAAAUGCGGCGUGAUACCUUUGAAAAAAGUAUGUUAAAUGAUACCUGAAAAGAAUACGGUCAGCGCAAAUUUUGGAUGCAUAUUUUUUUCCUUUGUAGUUGGUGUGUUGAAAAUUACGGUAUCCUGGUAAUUGAGAGGAUUCUUCAGUUAGCUUAGAGAUCUGAGACAGUUUACAUCACUUGAGUUGAAAUCAAAGACUUCUUCAAAGCCAAGUUUCAGUUUUUGUCAACUGCAGCCUCAUUUGUGUGUUCUGUAGAUGCUCAAGACUUCUGAAAGAACAGUAUUUUCUGGGGCUCAACUAGGAGAAAUAAGGACUUGUGUUGAAUGUAUGUAGUCUUGUUGCAGUGAUUGUGAGUUUUGUAUCUGCAACAGUCAGACGUAUCCACUAACCACUGAACGUUAGCUGGUGUGUCCGGAGACUGUUCAGACCCGAGCAAACUAACACUAAUUGUUUGUCUUGUCUUUGUUUAAAGUUUUAUGUAUCUGACAGUCAGACGUAUCCACUAACCACUCAUAGCGUUAGCUGGUGUGUCCGGAAGACUGUUCAGACCCUGAACAUACUAACCUUCAGUUUCCAUUCGAAACUGAACUGAAUUCAAAUUGAGAAAUACCAUAACUGAAUUCUAAAAGCAAGAUCACUAUCAAAGAGAACCACCAAAACCAAGAGAGUACCAUCAAAGAGAAUCAGAAUCAAGAAACAAUAAAAAAGAAUAAUCUAAAAAAGGAGACAAUCAAGUGUAAAAAAGUGAGACCUUGGAUUUGCAUACGAAACCUUGAACUGAAUUGAAAUUGAGAAAUACCAUAACUGAAUUCUAAAAGCAAGAGCACUAUCAAAGAGAACCACCAAAACCAAGAGAGUACCAUCAAAGAGAAUCAUAAUCAACAAACAAUAAAAAAGAAGAAUAAUCUAGAAAGGGAGACAAGUGUGAAAAGGGGAUAAAUAAUUUUGCAUCAAGAGUGACAGAGUCCACUUAAGAGUCUCGUUCAUUAGAAAACAGAAUUGAAAAAUUGUUGGGGAACUAACAGUUUUUAAUAAAGUAUUGCACUUUGAAGAGAUAUAUUGCACAAUAAAUACAAAGAUUCGUAUUUGAAAUCUCUGUAUUAUCUUCUUGUACAUCCAAAACAAAUCGAGGCAUUUGUUUGAAUAUAACUAUAGUUAGACUAAACUUUUAAUAUUGUGCAUUUUAUGCCUAUUGAGAUAAAGAGAUUGAAAAUGGCUUCCACUCAAUUCAGCUCUAUUGUUCAUGAGAUUCUAGGCAUGCUUUCCAGUUACACAUCGAUGAUAAACACAGAUGUUGAUGAAUGUUAUCAU